RNAcentral lists this ribosomal RNA (741 nucleotides) under Sclerococcum parasiticum. RNAcentral describes it as "mitochondrial SSU rRNA". It matches the Rfam family "Bacterial small subunit ribosomal RNA", at positions 368 to 1204 of the family's 1533-position model. The record is from RNAcentral. Lineage: Eukaryota; Fungi; Ascomycota; Eurotiomycetes; Sclerococcales; Dactylosporaceae.
UUGUAGGAUGUAAGUUUUAAUAGAAUUACAUAAUUGUGUAAUUUUCUAUAUAAAACGAAUAUUAAAGAUGUAAAGUUCUAAAUAAAAGACUUAAAUAGACAAAUUUUUAUUUACAAGUCUUGACCAAAUCACGUGCCAGCAGUCGCGGUAAGACGUGAAAGACUAGUGUUAUUCAUCAUUAUUAGGUUUAAAGGGUACGCAGAUAGUUAAUUUAUCCUAAACCAGGUAAAAAUUAACUAGAGUUUAAUAUGAGAAGGUGGAACUUUUGGUAAAGUGAUAAAAUACUCCGAAACUAAAAGGACUGGUAACGGCGAAGACAACCUUCUAAGUAAAAACUGACAUCAAGGGACGAAGGCUUGGGUAACGAUCAGGAUUAGAUACCCUAAUAGUCCAAGCAGAAAAUUAUGAGUGUCAUAGACUAGAAUAUUUAGUCUAUAAAUAAAAGUGUAAGCACUUCACCUUAAGAGUAAUGUGGCAACGCAGAAACUUAAAUCAUUAGACCGUUUCUGAAACCAGUAGUGAAGUAUGUUGUUUAAUUCGAUGACCCGCGAAAAACCUUACCACAAUUUGUAUAUUAUUUAAUUAAUACAGGUGCUGCACGGCUGUCUUUAGUUAAUAUCGUGAGAUUUUGGUUAGUUCCAUUAAUUAACGUAAACCCUUGUUUUAUUUUUAAAUAAAAUAGCUCUGCUAAUAAUUAAUUAGUAAGUUAACAGGGAUCAAGACAAGUCAUCAUGGCCUUAA